RNAcentral lists this ribosomal RNA (252 nucleotides) under uncultured bacterium. Its description in RNAcentral is "partial 16S ribosomal RNA". It matches the Rfam family "Bacterial small subunit ribosomal RNA", at positions 524 to 776 of the family's 1533-position model. The record is from RNAcentral.
UACGUAGGGAGCAAGCGUUGUCCGGAAUCGUUGGGCGAAAGCGCGCGUAGGCGGCUCGAUAAGUCUGUUGUGAAAGUCAAAGGCUCAACCUUUGAAUGCCGAUGGAUACUGUCGAGCUAGAGUCCGGAAGAGGCGAGUGGAAUUCCUGGUGUAGCGGUGGAAUGCGCAGAUAUCAGGAGGAACACCAACGGCGAAGGCAGCUCGCUGGGACGGUACUGACGCUAAGGCGCGAAAGCGUGGGGAGCGAACAGG